GAUGAACGCUGGCGGCGUGCCUAAUACAUGCAAGUCGAGCGAACAGACGAGGAGCUUGCUCCUCUGACGUUAGCGGCGGACGGGUGAGUAACACGUGGAUAACCUACCUAUAAGACUGGGAUAACUUCGGGAAACCGGAGCUAAUACCGGAUAAUAUAUUGAACCGCAUGGUUCAAUAGUGAAAGACGGUUUUGCUGUCACUUAUAGAUGGAUCCGCGCCGCAUUAGCUAGUUGGUAAGGUAACGGCUUACCAAGGCAACGAUGCGUAGCCGACCUGAGAGGGUGAUCGGCCCCACUGGACCUGAGACACGGUCCAGACUCCUACGGGAGGCAGCAGUAGGGAAUCUUCCGCAAUGGGCGAAAGCUUGACGGAGCAACGCCGCGUGAGUGAUGAGGUCUUCGGAUCGUAAAACUCUGUUAUUAGGGAAGAACAAAUGUGUAAGUAACUAUGCACGUCUUGACGGUACCUAAUCAGAAAGCCACGGCUAACUACGUG
Molecule: ribosomal RNA, 496 nt
Filed under: uncultured bacterium
Lineage: Bacteria
Description: partial 16S ribosomal RNA
Rfam family: Bacterial small subunit ribosomal RNA
Source: RNAcentral